This 497-nucleotide ribosomal RNA is filed under the name uncultured bacterium. RNAcentral's name for it is "partial 16S ribosomal RNA". It matches the Rfam family "Bacterial small subunit ribosomal RNA", at positions 28 to 507 of the family's 1533-position model. The record is from RNAcentral.
GACGAACGCUGGCGGCGUGCCUAAUACAUGCAAGUCGAGCGGUGAAGCUUUGUGCUUGCACCAAUUUGGAGAGCAGCGAACGGGUGAGUAACGCGUGGGGAAGCUUCUUUUGUGCGGGGGACAACAUCUGGAAACGAAUGCUAAUACUACAUAACAACUUUAAACAUAAGAUUUAAGUUUUAAAGAUGCAAUUGCAUCGCUCAAAGAUGAUCGCGAGUUUUAUUAGCUGGUUGGUGAGGGAAAGGCCCAGCAAGGCGGUGAUACAUAGCCUACCUGAGGGGGUGAUCGGCCACCAUGGGAACUGGACACCGCCCAAACUUCUUACGGAGGGAGCAGUAGGGAAUCUUCGGCCAUGGACGGCAGUCUGACCGCGGAAAGCCGGGGGAGUGAAGAAGGUCUUCGGAUCGUAAAAGUCUGUUUGUAGAGAAAGAAGUUGGUGAGAGUGGAAAGCUCAUGAAGUGACGGUAACUAAACAGAAAGGGACGGCUAACUACGUG